Macaca mulatta (Rhesus monkey) is the source of this 1066-nucleotide non-coding RNA. The record is from RefSeq and is a predicted model, not a curated record. NCBI's taxonomy places the organism in Eukaryota, Metazoa, Chordata, Mammalia, Primates, Cercopithecidae.
GGCCGCCAGAAGGCGCCCGAGGAUCACGAAUGGGCCCAAGGAGCGGGCGGCCCCUUCCCAUGCUCAAGUCUACCGCUUCCAGUUUGUGAUGUUCUCCUUCUGUCAACAGUUAGCAAACCUGCUGGCUGUGUCGCUCUGGCAGUGAGUCCAAAGGUGAAGGAUUGAGGGGGAGCUGAUGCAUUUUGAUACUCAAAAUGUCUCCUAAACUGUCAGGAAGAAGAGAGAGAGAGACCUGAGCAAACGCAGCCGUAUCACCAUGUGAUGUGUUGUGGCACCUCAGGACUCUUCAGAGAGUCCCCACCAUCAAGAAGGCCCUCACCAGAUGCUGCCCCUUUACCUUGGACUUCUCAGCCUCCAUAACUAAUUUCAGCCAACAUCACUAUCCAGGGGCUUUCAGAGUGCAUGACCUGCAGACCUGGAAUCCCACACAAGAGGGUAUCCUACCAAGGGACACACUUCAGAAUGAAGGAGGGACCUCGGUCUUUUCUCUUAAGGCCUCCAACUGACCAGAUGAGACCCAUCCACAUUGUGGAAGAGGACAAUCUGCUUUACUCAAAGUCUGUUGAUUUAAAUGUUAAUAAUAUCUUAAAAAAUAGCAUCACAGCCACAUCUAGAUACUUUGACCAAGCAACUGGGAACUGUAGCCUAGCCAAGUUGACACAAAACCAGCCAUUAUACUUCCUGACUAUAUUUUCAUGGUAAAGAAUUCAAACAACAGGGAGAUAUAUAGAAGAAAUACUGAAAGUCACAUUUCCACCCCAUCCCUUUCGUUCCCCAGAGGUGAACACUGUGAAUUCCUCAGUCAGCAUCCUUCCAGAACUCUGCCUAUUCCUUUAACACUCAUACAUGUAAAUAUAUUCAUAUAAUUUGGUUUUAUUUUACUUAAAUGAGAUUGUCCUGUAAGUGCUGUCUAGUGUCUUGUUUUUUUGUCUCAAAUGGUAACUCAUGGAAAUCAUUCUGUGUUAGUUUAUCCAUAUUUAUCUUGUUUUUUCAGUUGGACAAACAAAACAUUCAUUCAAUGUUUACAAAAUUAAAUCAAGUAAAAAUAAAAAAUUCUCUUUGAUCA